GGCGGCGUGCUUAACACAUGCAAGUCGAACGAUGAUCCCAGCUUGCUGGGGAUUAGUGGCGAACGGGUGAGUAACACGUGAGUAACCUGCCCUUGACUCUGGGAUAAGCCUGGGAAACUGGGUCUAAUACCGGAUAUGACUCCUCAUCGCAUGGUGGGGGGUGGAAAGCUUUUGUGGUUUUGGAUGGACUCGCGGCCUAUCAGCUUGUUGGUGAGGUAAUGGCUCACCAAGGCGACGACGGGUAGCCGGCCUGAGAGGGUGACCGGCCACACUGGGACUGAGACACGGCCCAGACUCCUACGGGAGGCAGCAGUGGGGAAUAUUGCACAAUGGGCGCAAGCCUGAUGCAGCGACGCCGCGUGAGGGAUGACGGCCUUCGGGUUGUAAACCUCUUUCAGUAGGGAAGAAGCGAAAGUGACGGUACCUGCAGAAGAAGCACCGGCUAACUACGUGCCAGCAGCCGCGGUAAUACGUAGGGUGCGAGCGUUAUCCGGAAUUAUUGGGCGUAAAGAGCUCGUAGGCGGUUUGUCGCGUCUGUCGUGAAAGUCCGGGGCUUAACCCCGGAUCUGCGGUGGGUACGGGCAGACUAGAGUGCAGUAGGGGAGACUGGAAUUCCUGGUGUAGCGGUGGAAUGCGCAGAUAUCAGGAGGAACACCGAUGGCGAAGGCAGGUCUCUGGGCUGUAACUGACGCUGAGGAGCGAAAGCAUGGGGAGCGAACAGGAUUAGAUACCCUGGUAGUCCAUGCCGUAAACGUUGGGCACUAGGUGUGGGGGACAUUCCACGUUUUCCGCGCCGUAGCUAACGCAUUAAGUGCCCCGCCUGGGGAGUACGGCCGC
This 837-nucleotide ribosomal RNA is filed under the name Arthrobacter sp. IM-6025. Its description in RNAcentral is "bacterial SSU rRNA". It matches the Rfam family "Bacterial small subunit ribosomal RNA", at positions 38 to 889 of the family's 1533-position model. Lineage: Bacteria; Bacillati; Actinomycetota; Actinomycetes; Micrococcales; Micrococcaceae. The record is from RNAcentral.